AUUUUUUUCCAUUCGUUUGCUCUUGAAAAUAAACAUGGAAUUAUUUUUAUUUGUGUAGGCUUGCUAUUCAAAGGCUUGAGAUUGCAAAAAGUGAUUUGCAGCACAUAAUUGCAAAGGAGGCUAGAGGCAAUGCUAUUUUACAAGCAAGCUUAGAAAGAAGGAAGCAAGCUCUGCACGAGCAGCGAUUGGCACUUGAACAAGAUGUUUCAAGAUUGCAAGAACAAUUGCAAGCUGAGAGGGAUUUUAGAGCGGCAUUGGAAGUUGGAUUGAGUAUGUCUUCAGGACAGUUUUC
This is a long non-coding RNA of Arachis duranensis, 292 nucleotides long. RefSeq lists it as uncharacterized. The transcript is spliced from 3 exons. Lineage: Eukaryota; Viridiplantae; Streptophyta; Magnoliopsida; Fabales; Fabaceae. The record is from RefSeq and is a predicted model, not a curated record.